GGGAUACAGUUAAGAUGUGGUGGCAAGAGAACUGAAUGUCUCAGAAAAUGUUAUAAAAAUUAAAUUUCAACCAGGGAGCUGUUGUCAGAAAUUUGGUAUUUUAUUUUACCACCAAUCCUAAAAAAAUUGGUUUGCCACUUAUAUUUCCUAAAAAAAAAAAAAAAUAAAUAGAUAGAUAAGCAAACAGCAACAACAACCAACUGGAUACUUACAUUUUUAAUUACUUCCUUGUUUCAGUACCUCAAUCAUACCUCAGUACAUUUUAAGAGAUUGAAGUACUUAGAAGCUAUAAAACCAUUAUUAUUAUUAUUAUUAUUAUUUUAUUAUUAUUGCUCUUAUGAAUGCUAUGUCUGUCAUGAAAAAGCUAAGUUCAGUGUAUGUGCUAUUAGUUGGAGUUUUCUGUGAUUUUGCCACUGUAGCUCCCACAUGUGUGGAGUACUAGAUCUCAUGGCUUGGUUAUUUUAUACCUCAGGGUUCUUAACCAGGGCACAGGCAACAAGUUUCCAACCACCAGCUGUGAUGCAUUGGUUGUGAUGGUGCUAGAUGUGUAGCUCCUACACAGUCUGGUGGUCAUGGAUGUCAUGUGUUGUGGUUUCCUCCUUUGUCCACGCCAGGAAAGCCUGCUCUCCUGCCAUGUGACUCCUCUGUUAUGUAACUCUAAACCACAACUGUGAGGAUGAGCAAACACUGACAAGGCUCUAUGGUUUGCAGACAGAUUCAACUAUGUCCUUCAAGGGAGUCUUCAUUUAGUGGGAAAGCAGGUCUGAUUACCUUGGAAGGUUUGGGGCCUCCAUACUGAUCUCUUGGUACUGUCUCUCCCCAUCUCUAAAAGAAGUCCAUGAUGUCAGCUACAUUACAGACUUGUGUUUUUUUUGUUGUUUUUUUUUUGUUUGUUUGUUUUUUGUUCAGACCCCAGAUUUCACAUUCAUUUUCUGGAUAUGUCAUUUCUAGCACCUGUGUGAGGGAGGGAAGUAUCCCUGCUUCUGCCGAGAAGGGGAGGGGAAGUGUGAAUGGAAAGAUGGCUUCCAGCAAAUGUUCCCAAGAAAAACAGGCUUUGCUUUCAAUACCACAGAUUUGCAGAAUUGAAUGA
Molecule: long non-coding RNA, 1090 nt
Filed under: Cairina moschata (Muscovy duck)
Lineage: Eukaryota; Metazoa; Chordata; Aves; Anseriformes; Anatidae
Description: domestica (muscovy Duck (domestic type)) lncRNA (ENSCMMG00000012322.1)
Source: RNAcentral